RNAcentral lists this ribosomal RNA (454 nucleotides) under uncultured bacterium. Its description in RNAcentral is "bacterial SSU rRNA". It matches the Rfam family "Bacterial small subunit ribosomal RNA", at positions 29 to 524 of the family's 1533-position model. The record is from RNAcentral.
AACGAACGCUGGCGGCAUGCCUAACACAUGCAAGUCGAACGCGUGGCUUCGGCCACGAGUGGCGCACGGGUGAGUAGCGCGUGGGAACCUGCCCUUCGGUACGGAAUAACCUCGGGAAACUGUGGCUAAUACCGUAUACGCCCCAUGGGGGAAAGAUUUAUCGCCGAAGGAGGGCCCGCGUCCGAUUAGGUAGUUGGUGAGGUAACGGCUCACCAAGCCUUCGAUCGGUAGCUGGUCUGAGAGGAUGAUCAGCCACACUGGGACUGAGACACGGCCCAGACUCCUACGGGAGGCAGCAGUGGGGAAUAUUGGACAAUGGGGGAAACCCUGAUCCAGCAAUGCCGCGUGAGUGAUGAAGGCCUUCGGGUUGUAAAGGCUCUUUCGCCUUACGACGAUGGUGACGGUAGUAGGAGAAGAAGCCCCGGCGUAACUUCGUGCCAGCAGCCGCGGUAAU